GAGAACCCACUGCUUAGGCAGCUGAAGGCAGCAGGAGAUGCCCUAAGUGAUAAACUAUACAAGGAAAACUACGAAAAGACAAAGGCAAAGAGCAUAAAUUACUGUGAGACCCCCAAAUUCAAGCUCGAUACUGUUCUGCAGAACUUCAGUAGUGAUAAAAAAUAUAAAGAUUCCUACUUAAAAAAUAUUUUGGGACAUUAUGUAGGCAGCUUUGAGGAUCCAUACCAUUCACACUGCAUGAAAGUCACAGCUCAAAACAGUGAUAAAAACUACAAAGCAGAAUACGAAGAAGACAGAGGCAAAGGCUUCUUCCCUCAGACCGUAACUCAAGAAUAUGAAGCAAUUAAGAAACUAGAUCAGUGUAAAGAUCACACCUACAAAGUCCAUCCAGAUAAGACAAAAUUCACCCAAGUUACAGACUCUCCUGUUCUGCUACAAGCCCAAGUCAAUUCCAAACAACUGAGUGACUUAAAUUACAAAGCAAAACAUGAAAGUGAAAAGUUCAAGUGCCAUAUCCCCCCUGAUACUCCUGCUUUUAUCCAGCACAAAGUCAAUGCCUAUAACUUGAGUGAUAAUCUUUAUAAGCAAGACUGGGAGAAGAGCAAAGCCAAGAAGUUUGACAUUAAAGUGGAUGCCAUUCCCCUGCUGGCAGCCAAAGCCAACACCAAGAACACCAGCGAUGUGAUGUACAAGAAAGACUAUGAAAAAAACAAAGGGAAAAUGAUUGGAGCCCUCAGCAUUAAUGACGAUCCCAAGAUGCUGCACUCCUUGAAGGUGGCCAAAAACCAGAGUGAUAGAUUAUACAAGGAAAACUAUGAGAAGACAAAGGCAAAGAGUAUGAAUUACUGCGAGACCCCAAAAUAUCAACUUGAUACUCAGCUGAAGAACUUCAGUGAGGCUAAAUAUAAAGACUUAUAUGUAAAGGAUAUUUUGGGACAUUAUGUAGGCAGCAUGGAGGACCCAUAUCACACACACUGCAUGAAAGUUGCAGCUCAAAACAGUGACAAAAGUUACAAAGCAGAAUAUGAAGAAGAUAAAGGAAAAUGCUAUUUCCCUCAGACAAUAACACAAGAAUAUGAAGCAAUCAAGAAGCUGGACCAGUGUAAAGAUCAUACCUACAAAGUUCAUCCAGAUAAGACCAAAUUCACGGCAGUCACUGAUUCUCCUGUACUGUUGCAAGCCCAGCUCAACACGAAACAGCUUAGUGAUGUAAGUGCUUUGAUUUAUGCAAGCGUGGGUGACCCAGAGUGCUUUGCUCAUUUAAAAUGUAAGCAUUUACAUGCUUAAUCUUCAUGAGCUCAUCUACCAUCCCAAUAUUAUUAUUUUUCAAGAUUUGUUUAAUAAAACACAAAUGAGGCUGCUAGAUUGAAUUGUAGCCUGAGGAAAGUUGUGUUAGACAAUAAUAAAAAUAAAUAUUUUUUAAUAACUCACUGAUUUUUAGUGGGACUAUCUUACUUAUUCAUUAGGAUCUGUCACAUGCACACUAAAACUUCGUGCCAACUUAAAUAGUGACAACAAAAGCAUCUAUUUGUGUAGGACAAGGCAAAUAUUUCCGAUUCUAGAAUUUGCUAACAAAGACUUUACAAAAAGAAAGGGCACAGUAACAAGACAGACAUCAAACAGUGAUAAGAGAACUAAUAUAGAAUGAUGCUACAGAAUUAAAGUGGGAUGACAUCAAAGAAAGAACUGGAUGGGCACUUUAGAUUGAGUGGUCAAAGAAAGUCUAAGACAGGUGUGGUCCAGUCAUGCCAAGAUCAGAGGGAAAGCAGCAGGGCUUCUCAGACAUCCACAUUCAUGCAAUCGCCUGCUGACCCCGUUGAAGAGCAGAUUCUAAUUCAGUAGAUCUAGGGGACUCCAUAUUCUGACUUUCUAAUAAGCUCCUAGGUGAUGCUGAUGCUGUGAUUGGUAGACUACUCUUUAAACAGUAAGGUGCUAACAUAGCUAAGUCCUAGAGAGUAGUACACCCUUCUCAAGAUAGGUAAGUGAAAGAUACAGUUUGUCCUACUAUAAAAUAUGUUUUAAUGACACAAAUAAGCUCAUAUCCAAUUAGUAAAGAGGAGAAUGGCAUCAGUAUAACUCAGAAGUCAUUUCUGCUCCUGUGCCACUUUUCUGAGCAUCUUAAUAUUUUGUGUCCCAAUAAAGAACAGCUGAACACUAACAUCACUGAUCUAGCUGAACUCAGCAAGCUGCAGAGAAAUAUAGUGCUGUAUGUGGUCACAGUCACUAUCAGUCACUCUUCUUAUGGGCUUAGGUAGGCAAUGGACUCUGCCUUGGAAUUACUUCUUGCAUAGUUCUCAAUCUUGUGCAUUUUUGCCUUCGGCUCCAAAAUUUAAACAGCCUCAUCCAUUCUUUACACUCCCUUCCUUACACCUAACGUCAACUUUUAAAAAAUUUAAAUAAAGUUCUAUGUUUAAUAAUUUAAAUAAGAAUUCACAGCCAGGUGCGGUGGCUCAUGCCUGUGAUCCCAGCACUUUGGGAGGCUGAGGCAGGCAGAUCAGUUGAGCCUAGGAGUUUGAAACUAGCCUGGGCAACAUGGUAAACCCCAUCACUACAAAAAAAUUAAAAAAUUAGCUGGGUAUGGCGGCACAUGCCUGUAGUCUCAGCUACUCAGGAGGCUGAGGUGGGAGGAUCACUUGAGCCUGGGAGGCGGAGGUUGCAGUGAGCCGAGAUUGUGUCACUGUACUCCAGCCUGGGUGAUGGAGCCAGACCCUGUCUCAAAAAAAAAAGAGUA
RNAcentral lists this small RNA (2731 nucleotides) under Pongo abelii (Sumatran orangutan). Its description in RNAcentral is "retained intron". The record is from RNAcentral. Lineage: Eukaryota; Metazoa; Chordata; Mammalia; Primates; Hominidae.